UACGGGAGGCAGCAGUGAGGAAUAUUGCUCAGUGGACGAAAGUCUGAAGCAGCAACGCCGCGUGAGGGAUGAAGGUGCUCUGCAUUGUAAACCUCUGUAGUCGGGGAAAAAUGGUGGGUUAUUACCCAUUUGAUGGUACCCGAAAAGUAAGGAUCGGCUAACUACGUGCCAGCAGCCGCGGUAAU
RNAcentral lists this ribosomal RNA (185 nucleotides) under uncultured bacterium. RNAcentral's name for it is "partial 16S ribosomal RNA". It matches the Rfam family "Bacterial small subunit ribosomal RNA", at positions 340 to 524 of the family's 1533-position model. The record is from RNAcentral.